RNAcentral lists this ribosomal RNA (527 nucleotides) under uncultured bacterium. RNAcentral's name for it is "bacterial SSU rRNA". It matches the Rfam family "Bacterial small subunit ribosomal RNA", at positions 984 to 1509 of the family's 1533-position model. The record is from RNAcentral.
ACAUCCAGAGAAUUUAGCAGAGAUGCUUUUAGUGCCUUCGGGAACUCUGAGACAGGUGCUGCAUGGCUGUCGUCAGCUCGUGUUGUGAAAUGUUGGGUUAAGUCCCGNAACGAGCGCAACCCUUAUCCUUUGUUGCCAGCACGUAAUGGUGGGAACUCAAAGGAGACUGCCGGUGAUAAACCGGAGGAAGGUGGGGAUGACGUCAAGUCAUCAUGGCCCUUACGAGUAGGGCUACACACGUGCUACAAUGGCGCAUACAAAGAGAAGCGACCUCGCGAGAGCAAGCGGACCUCAUAAAGUGCGUCGUAGUCCGGAUUGGAGUCUGCAACUCGACUCCAUGAAGUCGGAAUCGCUAGUAAUCGUAAAUCAGAAUGUUACGGUGAAUACGUUCCCGGGCCUUGUACACACCGCCCGUCACACCAUGGGAGUGGGUUGCAAAAGAAGUAGAUAGCUUAACCUUCGGGAGGGCGUUUACCACUUUGUGAUUCAUGACUGGGGUGAAGUCGUAACAAGGUAAGCGUAGUGCU